UGCAGAUGAUGUGAAAGAAUAUUUGCUAUCUUAACAUCCUUGAUGAUAGUUUUUCCACCAAGAUCGCUGAUGCA
Small nucleolar RNA from Cyprinodon variegatus (sheepshead minnow), 74 nucleotides. Its record names the gene SNORD24. It matches the Rfam family "Small nucleolar RNA SNORD24". From Rfam's summary of the family: U24 is a member of the C/D class of snoRNA which contain the C (UGAUGA) and D (CUGA) box motifs. C/D box snoRNAs have been shown to act as methylation guides for a number of RNA targets. The record is from Ensembl. NCBI's taxonomy places the organism in Eukaryota, Metazoa, Chordata, Actinopteri, Cyprinodontiformes, Cyprinodontidae.